UUCACUCUAUUGGAUAAGUAUGUUUAGAUUCCUUUAAACAGUGUCAAUUGCUUCUUAAGGCUCAUUCUUUUCAUAUUGAGUUGCUACUUUGUUAUCAGAAAAACCAUAUUUCUUUUUUAUUCCGCAAUAACAUAGUACUGCACCUAGUGCUAAAUAUGUAACACAGCCAAUUACGAUCCCAAUAAUAUCUCCACAUUUCAAACCUCC
This 207-nucleotide long non-coding RNA is filed under the name Mytilus galloprovincialis (Mediterranean mussel). The record is from RNAcentral. Lineage: Eukaryota; Metazoa; Mollusca; Bivalvia; Mytilida; Mytilidae.